This 253-nucleotide ribosomal RNA is filed under the name uncultured bacterium. Its description in RNAcentral is "partial 16S ribosomal RNA". It matches the Rfam family "Bacterial small subunit ribosomal RNA", at positions 524 to 776 of the family's 1533-position model. The record is from RNAcentral.
UACGGAGGGUCCAAGCGUUAUCCGGAAUCAUUGGGUUUAAAGGGUCCGUAGGCGGGCUAAUAAGUCAGAGGUGAAAUCCCACAGCUUAACUGUGGCACUGCCUUUGAUACUGUUAGUCUUGAAUAUUAAUGAAGUUGGCGGAAUAGGUUGUGUAGCGGUGAAAUGCGUAGAGAUUGGAAGGAACACCGAUGGCGAAGGCACUUUACUGGGCUAUUACUAACACUCAGAGACGAAAGCUAGGGUAGCAAAUGGG